RNAcentral lists this ribosomal RNA (413 nucleotides) under uncultured prokaryote. Its description in RNAcentral is "bacterial SSU rRNA". It matches the Rfam family "Bacterial small subunit ribosomal RNA", at positions 505 to 918 of the family's 1533-position model. The record is from RNAcentral.
GUGUCAGCCGCCGCGGUAAUACGGAGGGUGCGAGCGUUGUUCGGAAUUAUUGGGCGUAAAGCGCGUGUAGGCGGUCCGUUAAGUCUGAUGUGAAAGCCCAGGGCUCAACCCUGGAAGUGCAUUGGAAACUGGCGGACUUGAGUACGGGAGAGGGAAGUGGAAUUCCGAGUGUAGGGGUGAAAUCCGUAGAUAUUCGGAGGAACACCAGUGGCGAGGGCGGCUUCCUGGACCGAUACUGACGCUGAGACGCGAAGGCGUGGGGAGCAAACAGGAUUAGAUACCCUGGUAGUCCACGCCGUAAACGAUGGAUGCUAGACGUUGGGUAGUAUACUGCUCAGUGGCGCAGCUAACGCAUUAAGUACCCCGCCUGGGGAGUACGGUCGCAAGAUUAAAACUUAAAGGAAUUGACGGGG